GACUUACUCGGGAUCUGGAUCAUUUACUUUGAAAAAAUUAGAGUGUUUAAAGCAGGCUAUUGCUAUGAAUACAUUAGCAUGGAAUAAUAAUCUAGGACUUCGGUUCUAGUUUGUUGGUUCUUUAACUGAAGUAAUGAUUGAUAGGGAUAGUUGGUGGUGCUAGUAUUGGCCGGUCAGAGGUGAAAUUCUUGGAUUCGGUCAAGACUUCCUUAUGCACCAAGGAUGUCUUCUUCUGUCUCUUAUACACAUCUC
This 252-nucleotide ribosomal RNA is filed under the name uncultured Sandonidae. RNAcentral describes it as "partial 18S ribosomal RNA". It matches the Rfam family "Eukaryotic small subunit ribosomal RNA", at positions 729 to 978 of the family's 1831-position model. Lineage: Eukaryota; Cercozoa; Glissomonadida; Viridiraptoridae. The record is from RNAcentral.